AAGGGCACCACAAGAACGCGUGGAGCAUGUGGCUUAAUUUGACUCAACGCGGGAAAUCUUACCGGGUCCGGACACACUGAGGAUUGACAGGCAAUAUUAAUAUAUACUUUUUUUCAUAUUCCUUCGCGGGUUCAUGUUCAAAUGUCAUAUAUUAUGUUAAAUAUGCUAGUCCUUUCAUGAUUAUGUGAUAGGUGGUGCAUGGCCGUUCUUAGUUCGUGGAGUGAUCUGUCUGCUUAAUUGCGUUUCACUAAGGGCCUAUACAAUUACGUAUGUUGUUAUUACACUUUGACCCCUCCUUCACGGGUGCGUGUGUCUUUGACUGUUUCAACUCAUACAAUUAGGUCCUGAAAGCAACGAACGUGACCGCAACCUCUUGUUGCUUUCGUAUACCCUUAUAACACAGUUUUUUAUGCUCUUACGUAUUAAAUUUCUGUGCAAGAAAGCUUUUUAAACUAGAGGGACCGCUGUUAUCUUCUUAAACCAGAGGAAGGUUGCGGCAAUAACAGGUCUGUGAUGCCCUUAGAUGUUCCGGGCUGCACACGUGCUACAAUGAUUAUUGCAGUGAGCAUCUCAUUUUUUAUAUACACCGCAUGCGCGAGUCCAUUUAUUCAGUUUCUCUACCUUCACGGGUAUCGCUGUUUUAAAUGUGUAUCUCUGCGCGCGGUAAAGCCUGCUUCGAGAGUAAGUGGGUAAUCAAUUAGAAGUAAUGAUUUCCUUUUUUUUCUGCACACAUAUAUACGGCAGUUAUACCCGGGUAACCUUGUUGUUACUUUCUGUGUGUAUAGCUGUACCCUUUUUCCGUAUGUGCGAUUGUCAAUUCAUGGUGGGGACAGACCAUUGUUAAUUGUUGGUCUCGGUCUUAACUAGGAAUGCCUUGUACGGGUCUUUGGUUCAACAAACCACCCGGAAUACGUCCCUGCCCUUUGUACACACCGCCCGUC
RNAcentral lists this ribosomal RNA (941 nucleotides) under Trifarina earlandi. RNAcentral's name for it is "SSU rRNA". It matches the Rfam family "Eukaryotic small subunit ribosomal RNA", at positions 1160 to 1677 of the family's 1831-position model. The record is from RNAcentral. Lineage: Eukaryota; Foraminifera; Rotaliida; Uvigerinidae.